RNAcentral lists this ribosomal RNA (1000 nucleotides) under Burkholderia sp. Its description in RNAcentral is "bacterial SSU rRNA". It matches the Rfam family "Bacterial small subunit ribosomal RNA", at positions 155 to 1148 of the family's 1533-position model. The record is from RNAcentral. Lineage: Bacteria; Pseudomonadati; Pseudomonadota; Betaproteobacteria; Burkholderiales; Burkholderiaceae.
AACCCGGGGAAGAGCGGUUUUAACCCGCUAUCCUUUGGGGGAGAAAGGGGGUGUCCUUUGGGACCUCCGUUUACAGGGGCGGCCGAUGGCAGAUAAGCUAGUUGUGGGGUAAAGGCCUACCAGGGGGCCGAUCCGUAGUUGUUUGAGAGGACGACCAGCCACCCGGGGAUUGAGACCCGGCCCAGAUUCCUACGGGAGGCAGCAGUGGGGAAUUUUGGACAAUGGGCGCAAGCCUGAUCCAGCAAUGCCGCGUGUGUGAAGAAGGCCUUCGGGUUGUAAAGCACUUUUGUCCGGAAAGAAAACUUCAGCCCUAAUACGGCGGGGGGAUGACGGUACCGGAAGAAUAAGCACCGGCUAACUACGUGCCAGCAGCCGCGGUAAUACGUAGGGUGCAAGCGUUAAUCGGAAUUACUGGGCGUAAAGCGUGCGCAGGCGGUCCGCUAAGACAGAUGUGAAAUCCCCGGGCUUAACCUGGGAACUGCAUUUGUGACUGGCGGGCUAGAGUAUGGCAGAGGGGGGUAGAAUUCCACGUGUAGCAGUGAAAUGCGUAGAGAUGUGGAGGAAUACCGAUGGCGAAGGCAGCCCCCUGGGCCAAUACUGACGCUCAUGCACGAAAGCGUGGGGAGCAAACAGGAUUAGAUACCCUGGUAGUCCACGCCCUAAACGAUGUCAACUAGUUGUCGGGCCUUCAUUGGCUUGGUAACGUAGCUAACGCGUGAAGUUGACCGCCUGGGGAGUACGGUCGCAAGAUUAAAACUCAAAGGAAUUGACGGGGACCCGCACAAGCGGUGGAUGAUGUGGAUUAAUUCGAUGCAACGCGAAAAACCUUACCUACCCUUGACAUGUACGGAAUCCUGCUGAGAGGUGGGAGUGCCCGAAAGGGAGCCGUAACACAGGUGCUGCAUGGCUGUCGUCAGCUCGUGUCGUGAGAUGUUGGGUUAAGUCCCGCAACGAGCGCAACCCUUGUCCCUAGUUGCUACGCAAGAGCACUCCAGGGAGA